This 503-nucleotide long non-coding RNA is filed under the name Geospiza fortis (medium ground-finch). RNAcentral's name for it is "lncRNA (ENSGFOG00000014558.1)". The record is from RNAcentral. Lineage: Eukaryota; Metazoa; Chordata; Aves; Passeriformes; Thraupidae.
GCCCUACUGGGGUGAUGUGUGAUGGUGCCACUGUCCCGCUCCCAUCUGAGGGGUCACUGCUCACCUGGCUGCCAGGAUGGAUCCUGGGAAUCUGCCCCUGGUCUGGGGAGGAACAGCUGAGCCUCGCUGGGAUGUCUGGGGAUGUUCCCCCAGCUCUGUCCAUAGGAGCUCCAGACCCCCAGGGGCUCAGGGAGGGCUCAGUGGGGACCCCCAGGUGGAGCCUCCUGUACUUCCAGGUGCCACUGGAAUCCGAGGGUGAGGAGGCCGCUCUGCCCGAGCAGGAGCUGGGGAGCAGCGUGGGCAGCCGGGAGCUCCGUGGGAUCGCCAGGAAGGGGAACUACGAGGCCAUGGUCCCUCUCGGGUCUGAGGAUGCUGGUUCCAGAGCUGCACUGCUGCCACCAGCCGAGGACAGGGAGGAUCCAGGGAGCCCCGGGCUGCCUGAGAAGGGAGCGGUGCCAGGACAGCUUGGUGACAGUGACAUGAUCGUGAUCAAGACGGAAGAG